UGUCAAUAAACGGCUGUGCUCCCUGGCUAGCUCACGGGAAGCAAGACCAAACGACACCUCCGUCUCCUUGUUGUCUGAGCUCGCCACAUUGGUGUCAGAAGUGGGAUGAUGGUGGCACCCCAUGUUCUGACCCGAGUGACUUUUCCCCUGCCGGUCGUGACCGGCCGGUGCGCCAAAAGAAGGCACCUGGACAUUUGCAAAGUGAAAGCAAAAAACAAGCGCAAAUUCAAACGCGAUUUCAACAUGUCACAUAUUGACAGUGGCUCACAAUGACAUAAUUACCCAGCUACAUUUCCGAAAGAAUGCAAAAGCAUUGACAUAUAUUUUUCCUUCCUACAAUAGCCCGACGGGCAGGGCAGAGAUAGAUUUUGGUAGCCCGACUGGAAAAAUCGCUAGCCCCGGGACGUCGGGCUAGCGAUUUUGCAAGCCCUGCAGAGCCAGAUCAUCUCGAAAUAUACAUACAACAAGCCAAACCACACCUUGGUCACACCAACCCUUUUCCGCCCUGAAGAUGUCCAACGCCAUCUUAGUCUGGACCAGGGUUUUAAUAGUUUUGCAAUUUUCAUUAGUUUUUUAUUUUUAUUUAGUUUCGACUUCAGAUUUUCAAUUUUCUGUCAGUUGUAAUUAGUUUUUACCAAUUGUUUGCUAGUUUAGUUUAGAUUUUAUUUUUUUUUGAAAAUCCUUAGUUUCAGUUUAGUUUUGAUUAGUUUCAGUUAUAGGUUUAGUUGUGUUUGCAAAUAUUAAGUGUAACAAAAUCCCAGUUUCAUCAUAUCAGUCAUGCUCUUCUGCUUAUCCUUGGGUGUUGAGACUAUUAACUAUUAACUCUUUCAGCACCGGGUGUUCGUAAUUUUGGUUCAAGUUAAUUGGUAAACUUUUUGAAGGCAACUGACUCACACAGUUAUGUAGAUGUCCCCGUCCUGUUGUCUCCGGAUGCAUCACGCUGCCUUGUCUGGGGUUAGCUUCUGUUUUCUGGGGGUGAGGGUUGAGUGUGCUCCCGUACCUUCUCAAGGUAAGCUAGGUUAGCCUUCUGGUGUGAACUUUUCAAGUGCACUUUUGUGGGAUUUUUUCCCUUUAGAAAUGUCCCUCAUUUGCCCCUCAAUUUGUCUCUUUCCACUACAAGACACUUGCUUUAAGCAAAGCACAGUCAUAUUCAAAGUAAUCCCAAAUUGGACUCUGGCGCUUUCUCCCGACUUUUCCUGACAUGAUUCUGCGCGUGGACGGAGCAGCAACACAGACGACUCGACUAACGUACUGGCCACCUGCUGACUCAGGCUACGUUCACACUGCAGGCAAAAGCGCAUCAAAUCGGAUUUUUUUGACCCUAUGCGACCCAUAUCCGAUCAUGGUAUGACAGUGUGAACGGCACAAAUCCGAUAUUUUCAAAUCCGAUCUGGGUCACUUUCGUAUGUGGUCCUGAAUCC
Astatotilapia calliptera (eastern happy) is the source of this 1421-nucleotide long non-coding RNA. The record is from Ensembl. Lineage: Eukaryota; Metazoa; Chordata; Actinopteri; Cichliformes; Cichlidae.